AGCUAGUUGGUGAGGUAAAGGCUCACCAAGGCGACGACGGGUAUCCGGCCUGAGAGGGCGACCGGACACACUGGGACUGAGACACGGCCCAGACUCCUACGGGAGGCAGCAGUGGGGAAUUUUGGACAAUGGGCGCAAGCCUGAUCCAGCAAUGCCGCGUGAGUGAAGAAGGCCUUCGGGUUGUAAAGCUCUUUUGUCAGGGAAGAAACGGCUGAGGAUAAUACCUUUGGCUAAUGACGGUACCUGAAGAAUAAGCACCGGCUAACUACGUGCCAGCAGCCGCGGUAAUACGUAGGGUGCAAGCGUUAAUCGGAAUUACUGGGCGUAAAGCGUGCGCAGGCGGUUUUGUAAGUCUGUCGUGAAAUCCCCGGGCUCAACCUGGGAAUUGCGAUGGAGACUGCAAGGCUGGAGUCUGGCAGAGGGGGGUAGAAUUCCACGUGUAGCAGUG
RNAcentral lists this ribosomal RNA (448 nucleotides) under uncultured beta proteobacterium. Its description in RNAcentral is "bacterial SSU rRNA". It matches the Rfam family "Bacterial small subunit ribosomal RNA", at positions 243 to 683 of the family's 1533-position model. Lineage: Bacteria; Pseudomonadati; Pseudomonadota; Betaproteobacteria. The record is from RNAcentral.